Molecule: ribosomal RNA, 457 nt
Filed under: uncultured Hydrogenophaga sp.
Lineage: Bacteria; Pseudomonadati; Pseudomonadota; Betaproteobacteria; Burkholderiales; Comamonadaceae
Description: bacterial SSU rRNA
Rfam family: Bacterial small subunit ribosomal RNA
Source: RNAcentral
GCACAAGCGGUGGAUGAUGUGGUUAAUUCGAUGCAACGCGAAAACCUUACCACCUUUGACAUGUAUGGAAGUUUCCAGAGAUGGAUUCGUGCUCGAAAGAGAGCCAUAACACAGGUGCUGCAUGGCUGUCGUCAGCUCGUGUCGUGAGAUGUUGGGUUAAGUCCCGCAACGAGCGCAACCCUUGUCAUUAGUUGCUACAUUUGGUUGGGCACUCUAAAUGAGACUGCCGGUGACAAACCGGAGGAAGGUGGGGAUGACGUCAAGUCCUCAUGGCCCUUAUAGGUGGGGCUACACACGUCAUACAAUGGCCGGUACAAAGGGUCGCAAACCCGCGAGGGGGAGCCAAUCCAUCAAAGCCGGUCGUAGUCCGGAUCGCAGUCUGCAACUCGACUGCGUGAAGUCGGAAUCGCUAGUAAUCGUGGAUCAGCAUGUCACGGUGAAUACGUUCCCGGGUCUU